RNAcentral lists this transfer RNA (65 nucleotides) under Dipodomys ordii (Ord's kangaroo rat). It matches the Rfam family "tRNA". Rfam says of the family: Transfer RNA (tRNA) molecules are approximately 80 nucleotides in length. Their secondary structure includes four short double-helical elements and three loops (D, anti-codon, and T loops). Further hydrogen bonds mediate the characteristic L-shaped molecular structure. tRNAs have two regions of fundamental functional importance: the anti-codon, which is responsible for specific mRNA codon recognition, and the 3' end, to which the tRNAs corresponding amino acid is attached (by aminoacyl-tRNA synthetases). tRNAs cope with the degeneracy of the genetic code in two manners: having more than one tRNA (with a specific anti-codon) for a particular amino acid; and 'wobble' base-pairing, i.e. permitting non-standard base-pairing at the 3rd anti-codon position. The record is from Rfam by way of RNAcentral. Lineage: Eukaryota; Metazoa; Chordata; Mammalia; Rodentia; Heteromyidae.
GGUGGCUCAGUGGGAGAGUGCUUGCCUUGCAUGCAUGAGGCCCUGGGUUCGAUUCCUUAGCACCA